GCCUACAGCCAUACCACCCUGAACGCGUCUGAUCUCUUCUGAUCUUGGAAACUAAGCAGGGUCGGGCCUGGUUAGUACUUAAAUGGGAGAAAUGGAUUUGAUUUUAGCA
Molecule: ribosomal RNA, 109 nt
Organism: Mustela putorius furo (domestic ferret)
Lineage: Eukaryota; Metazoa; Chordata; Mammalia; Carnivora; Mustelidae
Source: Ensembl